Molecule: ribosomal RNA, 253 nt
Filed under: uncultured bacterium
Lineage: Bacteria
Description: partial 16S ribosomal RNA
Rfam family: Bacterial small subunit ribosomal RNA
Source: RNAcentral
UACGGAGGGUGCAAGCGUUAUCCGGAUUCACUGGGUUUAAAGGGUGCGUAGGCGGAAUGAUAAGUCAGCGGUGAAAUCCCUCGGCUUAACCGAGGAACUGCCGUUGAUACUGUCAAUCUUGAGUACAUUUGAUGUGGGCGGAAUGUGUCAUGUAGCGGUGAAAUGCUUAGAUAUGACACAGAACACCGAUUGCGAAGGCAGCUCACAAAACUGUAACUGACGCUGAGGCACGAAAGCGUGGGUAUCAAACAGG